GAGCGGGGUAAAGCCAGAG
RNAcentral lists this small nuclear RNA (19 nucleotides) under Arabidopsis thaliana (thale cress). Its description in RNAcentral is "snRNA_05928". Lineage: Eukaryota; Viridiplantae; Streptophyta; Magnoliopsida; Brassicales; Brassicaceae. The record is from RNAcentral.